RNAcentral lists this ribosomal RNA (475 nucleotides) under uncultured organism. RNAcentral's name for it is "partial 16S ribosomal RNA". It matches the Rfam family "Bacterial small subunit ribosomal RNA", at positions 330 to 797 of the family's 1533-position model. The record is from RNAcentral.
CGUACACUCCUGCGGGAGGCAGCAGUGGGGAAUAUUGCACAAUGGGCGCAAGCCUGAUGCAGCCAUGCCGCGUGUAUGAAGAAGGCCUUCGGGUUGUAAAGUACUUUCAGCGGGGAGGAAGGCAAUACGGUUAAUAACCGUGUUGAUUGACGUUACCCGCAGAAGAAGCACCGGCUAACUCCGUGCCAGCAGCCGCGGUAAUACGGAGGGUGCAAGCGUUAAUCGGAAUUACUGGGCGUAAAGCGCACGCAGGCGGUCUGUCAAGUCGGAUGUGAAAUCCCCGGGCUCAACCUGGGAACUGCAUUCGAAACUGGCAGGCUUGAGUCUUGUAGAGGGGGGUAGAAUUCCAGGUGUAGCGGUGAAAUGCGUAGAGAUCUGGAGGAAUACCGGUGGCGAAGGCGGCCCCCUGGACAAAGACUGACGCUCAGGUGCGAAAGCGUGGGGAGCAAACAGGAUUAGAUACCCCGGUAGUCCC